GCCAAUUAUAUACAUGGUGUCACAUCUCUGUUCCACCACCCUAUAAGGGCGGCCUGCACCUUGUCAUGUCGGACAUGUUUUAAAAUUAAAACUUUCUGCCCGACCUGAAAGCUACGGUCCCUGGCACCCCGAUCAUACCAGGUGCGCUGGCGGGUCUGCACCGUCUGAAGAUUUUCCCUUACCAUCCUAGUCAAUGCUUCUAGGCGGUUUCGAAAUGCCAACACAUAUCGUAUGAUUGGG
Non-coding RNA from Pelobates cultripes (western spadefoot toad), 240 nucleotides. The record is from the annotation of a GenBank genome assembly. NCBI's taxonomy places the organism in Eukaryota, Metazoa, Chordata, Amphibia, Anura, Pelobatidae.